RNAcentral lists this transfer RNA (74 nucleotides) under Pythium insidiosum. Its description in RNAcentral is "tRNA-Met". It matches the Rfam family "tRNA". Rfam says of the family: Transfer RNA (tRNA) molecules are approximately 80 nucleotides in length. Their secondary structure includes four short double-helical elements and three loops (D, anti-codon, and T loops). Lineage: Eukaryota; Oomycota; Peronosporomycetes; Pythiales; Pythiaceae. The record is from RNAcentral.
GCUCCUUUGGGCUCAGUUGGUAGAGCGUCAGUCUCAUAAAUCUGAAGGUCGCAGUUCGAUCCUGGCAGGGAGCA